Molecule: ribosomal RNA, 254 nt
Filed under: uncultured bacterium
Lineage: Bacteria
Description: partial 16S ribosomal RNA
Rfam family: Bacterial small subunit ribosomal RNA
Source: RNAcentral
UACGUAGGUGGCAAGCGUUAUCCGGAAUUAUUGGGCGUAAAGAGCUCGUAGGCGGUUCGGCAAGUCGGAUGUGAAAUCUCCACGCUUAACGUGGAGGGGCCAUUCGAAACUGCUGUGACUCGAGUCCGGUAGGGGAGUGUGGAAUUCCCGGUGUAGCGGUGAAAUGCGCAGAUAUCGGGAAGAACACCCGUGGCGAAGGCGGCUCUCUGGGACGGUACUGACGCUGAGACGCGAAAGCGUGGGGAGCGAACAGG